AUUGAACGCUGGCGGCAGGCUUAACACAUGCAAGUCGAGCGGUAGCACAAGAGAGCUUGCUCUCUGGGUGACGAGCGGCGGACGGGUGAGUAAUGUCUGGGAAACUGCCUGAUGGAGGGGGAUAACUACUGGAAACGGUAGCUAAUACCGCAUAACGUCGCAAGACCAAAGAGGGGGACCUUCGGGCCUCUUGCCAUCAGAUGUGCCCAGAUGGGAUUAGCUAGUAGGUGGGGUAAUGGCUCACCUAGGCGACGAUCCCUAGCUGGUCUGAGAGGAUGACCAGCCACACUGGAACUGAGACACGGUCCAGACUCCUACGGGAGGCAGCAGUGGGGAAUAUUGCACAAUGGGCGCAAGCCUGAUGCAGCCAUGCCGCGUGUGUGAAGAAGGCCUUCGGGUUGUAAAGCACUUUCAGCGAGGAGGAAGGUGGUGGACUUAAUACGUUCAUCAAUUGACGUUACUCGCAGAAGAAGCACCGGCUAACUCCGUGCCAGCAGCCGCGGUAAUACGGAGGGUGCAAGCGUUAAUCGGAAUUACUGGGCGUAAAGCGCACGCAGGCGGUUUGUUAAGUCAGAUGUGAAAUCCCCGGGCUCAACCUGGGAACUGCAUUUGAAACUGGCAAGCUAGAGUCUCGUAGAGGGGGGUAGAAUUCCAGGUGUAGCGGUGAAAUGCGUAGAGAUCUGGAGGAAUACCGGUGGCGAAGGCGGCCCCCUGGACGAAGACUGACGCUCAGGUGCGAAAGCGUGGGGAGCAAACAGGAUUAGAUACCCUGGUAGUCCACGCUGUAAACGAUGUCGAUUUGGAGGUUGUGCCCUUGAGGCGUGGCUUCCGGAGCUAACGCGUUAAAUCGACCGCCUGGGGAGUACGGCCGCAAGGUUAAAACUCAAAUGAAUUGACGGGGGCCCGCACAAGCGGUGGAGCAUGUGGUUUAAUUCGAUGCAACGCGAAGAACCUUACCUACUCUUGACAUCCAGAGAACUUUCCAGAGAUGGAUUGGUGCCUUCGGGAACUCUGAGACAGGUGCUGCAUGGCUGUCGUCAGCUCGUGUUGUGAAAUGUUGGGUUAAGUCCCGCAACGAGCGCAACCCUUAUCCUUUGUUGCCAGCGGUUCGGCCGGGAACUCAAAGGAGACUGCCAGUGAUAAACUGGAGGAAGGUGGGGAUGACGCCAAGUCAUCAUGGCCCUUACGAGUAGGGCUACACACGUGCUACAAUGGCAUAUACAAAGAGAAGCGACCUCGCGAGAGCAAGCGGACCUCAUAAAGUAUGUCGUAGUCCGGAUUGGAGUCUGCAACUCGACUCCAUGAAGUCGGAAUCGCUAGUAAUCGUAGAUCAGAAUGCUACGGUGAAUACGUUCCCGGGCCU
Molecule: ribosomal RNA, 1363 nt
Filed under: uncultured bacterium
Lineage: Bacteria
Description: bacterial SSU rRNA
Rfam family: Bacterial small subunit ribosomal RNA
Source: RNAcentral